RNAcentral lists this ribosomal RNA (651 nucleotides) under uncultured bacterium. Its description in RNAcentral is "bacterial SSU rRNA". It matches the Rfam family "Bacterial small subunit ribosomal RNA", at positions 54 to 749 of the family's 1533-position model. The record is from RNAcentral.
CAUGCAAGUCGAGCGCCCGUAGCAAUACGGGAGCGGCAGACGGGUGAGUAACACGUGGGAACGUGCCUUUCGGUUCGGAACAACCCAGGGAAACUUGGGCUAAUACCGGAUACGCCCUUACGGGGAAAGAUUUAUCGCCGAAAGAUCGGCCCGCGUCUGAUUAGCUAGUUGGUGGGGUAAAGGCCUACCAAGGCGACGAUCCAUAGCUGGUCUGAGAGGAUGAUCAGCCACAUUGGGACUGAGACACGGCCCAAACUCCUACGGGAGGCAGCAGUGGGGAAUAUUGGACAAUGGGCGCAAGCCUGAUCCAGCCAUGCCGCGUGAGUGAUGAAGGUCUUAGGAUUGUAAAGCUCUUUCACCGGAGAAGAUAAUGACGGUAUCCGGAGAAGAAGCCCCGGCUAACUUCGUGCCAGCAGCCGCGGUAAUACGAAGGGGGCUAGCGUUGUUCGGAAUUACUGGGCGUAAAGCGUACGUAGGCGGACAUUUAAGUCAGGGGUGAAAUCCCGGGGCUCAACCCCGGAACUGCCUUUGAUACUGGCUGUCUUGAGUGUGGAAGAGGUGAGUGGAAUUGCGAGUGUAGAGGUAAAAUUCGUAGAUAUUCGCAGGAACACCAGUGGCGAANGCGACUUUCUGGUCUGUAACUGACACUGA